This 496-nucleotide ribosomal RNA is filed under the name uncultured bacterium. Its description in RNAcentral is "partial 16S ribosomal RNA". It matches the Rfam family "Bacterial small subunit ribosomal RNA", at positions 28 to 507 of the family's 1533-position model. The record is from RNAcentral.
GAUGAACGCUGGCGGCGUGCCUAAUACAUGCCAGUCGAGCGAACGGACGAGAAGCUUGCUUCUCUGAUGUUAGCGGCGGACGGGUGAGUAACACGUGGAUACCUACCUAUAAGACUGGGAUAACUUCGGGAAACCGGAGCUAAUACCGGAUAAUAUUUUGAACCGCAUGGUUCAAAAGUGAAAGACGGUCUUGCUGUCACUUAUAGAUGGAUCCGCGCUGCAUUAGCUAGUUGGUAAGGUAACGGCUUACCAAGGCAACGAUGCAUAGCCGACCUGAGAGGGUGAUCGGCCACACUGGAACUGAGACACGGUCCAGACUCCUACGGGAGGCAGCAGUAGGGAAUCUUCCGCAAUGGGCGAAAGCCUGACGGAGCAACGCCGCGUGAGUGAUGAAGGUCUUCGGAUCGUAAAACUCUGUUAUUAGGGAAGAACAUAUGUGUAAGUAACUGUGCACAUCUUGACGGUACCUAAUCAGAAAGCCACGGCUAACUACGUG